GGGUGUGAUCAUACCAGCACUAAUGCACCGGAUCCCAUCAGAACUCCGAUGUUAAGCGUGCUUGGGCAAGAGUAGUACUAGGAUGGGUGACCUCCUGGGAAGUCCUYGUGUUGCACCCC
RNAcentral lists this ribosomal RNA (119 nucleotides) under Nelumbo nucifera (sacred lotus). Lineage: Eukaryota; Viridiplantae; Streptophyta; Magnoliopsida; Proteales; Nelumbonaceae. The record is from RNAcentral.